This 253-nucleotide ribosomal RNA is filed under the name uncultured bacterium. RNAcentral describes it as "partial 16S ribosomal RNA". It matches the Rfam family "Bacterial small subunit ribosomal RNA", at positions 524 to 776 of the family's 1533-position model. The record is from RNAcentral.
UACGUAGGGGGCGAGCGUUGUCCGGAAUUAUUGGGCGUAAAGGGAGCGUAGGCGGGACAGCAAGUUGGAUGUGAAAUGUACGGGCUCAACCCGUGAGCUGCAUCCAAAACUGUAGUUCUUGAGUGAAGUAGAGGCAGGCGGAAUUCCUAGUGUAGCGGUGAAAUGCGUAGAUAUUAGGAGGAACACCAGUGGCGAAGGCGGCCUGCUGGGCUUUAACUGACGCUGAGGCUCGAAAGCGUGGGGAGCAAACAGG